CAUUUACAUAGCGAUGGUAUCAGCCUUUAACAGCCACGAAUAGCUAAUAAUACCUACUUAUAA
RNAcentral lists this non-coding RNA (63 nucleotides) under Porphyromonadaceae bacterium. RNAcentral's name for it is "Fluoride sequence". It matches the Rfam family "Fluoride riboswitch aptamer (crcB RNA motif)". Lineage: Bacteria; Pseudomonadati; Bacteroidota; Bacteroidia; Bacteroidales; Porphyromonadaceae. The record is from RNAcentral.